RNAcentral lists this ribosomal RNA (295 nucleotides) under Enterococcus faecium. RNAcentral describes it as "partial 23S ribosomal RNA". It matches the Rfam family "Bacterial large subunit ribosomal RNA", at positions 1726 to 2030 of the family's 2925-position model. The record is from RNAcentral. Lineage: Bacteria; Bacillati; Bacillota; Bacilli; Lactobacillales; Enterococcaceae.
CCCCGUACCUGCGGUAGAAGGGGUGCGGUGCAUACGAUCAGCGGCAGUGAAUAGGCCCAAUCUACUGUUUAUCAAAAACACAGGUCUCUGCAAGAUCGUAAGAUGAAUUAUAGGUGCUGACGCCUGCGCGGUGCUGGAAGUUUAAGAGGAGUGCUUGACGCAAGCGAAGGAACGAAUUGAAGCACGAGUAAGCGGCAGCCGUAACUAUAACAGUCCUAAGGUAGCGAAAUACCUUGUCGGGUAAGUACCGACCCGCACGAAAGGCGUAACGCUGUGUGAACUGUCUCAACGGUAG